RNAcentral lists this non-coding RNA (30 nucleotides) under Mus musculus (house mouse). Lineage: Eukaryota; Metazoa; Chordata; Mammalia; Rodentia; Muridae. The record is from RNAcentral.
UCUUUGGAUUUUAAACAUUGAAAAAUAGAC